RNAcentral lists this ribosomal RNA (533 nucleotides) under Bacteroides caccae ATCC 43185. RNAcentral's name for it is "SSU rRNA". It matches the Rfam family "Bacterial small subunit ribosomal RNA", at positions 26 to 547 of the family's 1533-position model. Lineage: Bacteria; Pseudomonadati; Bacteroidota; Bacteroidia; Bacteroidales; Bacteroidaceae. The record is from RNAcentral.
AGGAUGAACGCUAGCUACAGGCUUAACACAUGCAAGUCGAGGGGCAUCAGUUUGGUUUGCUUGCAAACCAAAGCUGGCGACCGGCGCACGGGUGAGUAACACGUAUCCAACCUACCUCAUACUCGGGGAUAGCCUUUCGAAAGAAAGAUUAAUAUCCGAUAGCAUAUAUUUCCCGCAUGGGUUUUAUAUUAAAGAAAUUCGGUAUGAGAUGGGGAUGCGUUCCAUUAGUUUGUUGGGGGGGUAACGGCCCACCAAGACUACGAUGGAUAGGGGUUCUGAGAGGAAGGUCCCCCACAUUGGAACUGAGACACGGUCCAAACUCCUACGGGAGGCAGCAGUGAGGAAUAUUGGUCAAUGGACGCGAGUCUGAACCAGCCAAGUAGCGUGAAGGAUGACUGCCCUAUGGGUUGUAAACUUCUUUUAUAUGGGAAUAAAGUGGUCCACGUGUGGACUUUUGUAUGUACCAUAUGAAUAAGGAUCGGCUAACUCCGUGCCAGCAGCCGCGGUAAUACGGAGGAUCCGAGCGUUAUCCG